RNAcentral lists this ribosomal RNA (841 nucleotides) under uncultured bacterium. RNAcentral's name for it is "bacterial SSU rRNA". It matches the Rfam family "Bacterial small subunit ribosomal RNA", at positions 627 to 1467 of the family's 1533-position model. The record is from RNAcentral.
UGGAAACUNUCCGACUUGAGUGCAGAAGGGGAGAGUGGAAUUNCAUGUGUAGCGGUGAAAUGCGUAGAUAUAUGGAGGAACACCAGUGGCGAAAGCGGCUCUCUGGUCUGUCACUGACGCUGAGGCUCGAAAGCGUGGGUAGCGAACAGGAUUAGAUACCCUGGUAGUNCACGCCGUAAACGAUGAGUGCUAGGUGUUAGGCCCUUUCCGGGGCUUAGUGCCGGAGCUAACGCAAUAAGCACUCCGCCUGGGGAGUACGACCGCAAGGCUGAAACUCAAAGGAAUUGACGGGGGCCCGCACAAGCGGUGGAGCAUGUGGUUUAAUUCGAAGCAACGCGAAGAACCUUACCAGGUCUUGACAUCCCGAUGCUAUUCUUAGAGAUAGGAAGUUACUUCGGUACAUCGGAGACAGGUGGUGCAUGGUUGUCGUCAGCUCGUGUCGUGAGAUGUUGGGUUAAGUCCCGCAACGAGCGCAACCCUUAUUGUUAGUUGCCAUCAUUAAGUUGGGCACUCUAGCGAGACUGCCGGUAAUAAACCGGAGGAAGGUGGGGAUGACGUCAAAUCAUCAUGCCCCUUAUGACCUGGGCUACACACGUGCUACAAUGGUCGGUACAAUGAGUUGCGAGCCGGUGACGGCAAGCUAAUCUCUGAAAGCCGAUCUCAGUUCGGAUUGGAGGCUGCAACUCGCCUCCAUGAAGUCGGAAUCGCUAGUAAUCGCGGAUCAGCACGCCGCGGUGAAUACGUUCCCGGGCCUUGUACACACCGCCCGUCACACCACGAGAGUUUGUAACACCCGAAGUCGGUGAGGUAACCUUUUAGGGGCCAGCCGCCUAAGGUNGGA